RNAcentral lists this long non-coding RNA (1031 nucleotides) under Toxoplasma gondii VEG. The record is from RNAcentral. Lineage: Eukaryota; Apicomplexa; Conoidasida; Eucoccidiorida; Sarcocystidae.
GCACGAACAGGUUUGUCGGUAUUCUGCCGAUGUUUGUGACUAGCUGGUGGACAAAAGCAACGUCUGGUAAACCCUCUACACGGACAAUCCUGGAGACGGACUUUCCCGAAUCGGAUCAGAAGUUUCUCGUGGGCUGCGCGCUCAACAACACGCCCGCUCCCCACCAGUCCAAGGAAGACGGAGAAAGUGACUCCUACGUCGUUACAUACACAACUUGUGUUUUGGUUACUGUAAAGUCCAGCGGUUCUGCUUCCUUUGCAUCACCCAGUAUUCAAAUAUUGGCUGCAGUUUCCGGAGCGGCCACAAUGACAGGUUUCGCUGUUGGUUCCUUGUAGGAAGUAUGGUGAUCCGUUCCUCUCGAGAGUUCAGCGCUUCCAAGUGUUCCCUCACGCUAUUUUCAUUUUGCUGCGGCUGGCCAUUCUUCCUUUAAUAACACAUUUCAGACAUCGCUCGGCAUCGAUUUGCCGUCAUGCCCCGAGUGUUCGUGUCUUCUUGUCAAUAUAGUUCGGAGACGUGUAGACAUCGGCAUGCUUAAAGGUGGUGAGCGGCAUAUCUGCCAGUGCGAGGUACACGCACACAGAAACAUCCAUGUUUUCUUCCAUUGGGAUGGAUGUGACAAUUGUGCGUCAUAAAACAACUGGCGAUAGGUGAUACCAUGAGCGUACUUGUCAAUUCUCUUGACCCAUCUGGACCAGAGAAUGCCGUCUCGUCUUUCUUCGGGGAUAUACCAUUUAUGAGUGUUAUGCAAGAAUGAGGCUCGGUUUUCGAACACGAAGCAAUAUAUCCGUGUUCGUUAAUCGACUGCAACAGACCUGAGACCAUAACCUCACUAGGGUGCUUGCAACCUGCUGCGAAAGGCUGAACUCCCUCUCAGUAGCUAAAAUACAACUUACUGUCGCCGGAGCUGGCCGUCGCAAUUUUGCUCACUACGCAUGAAGUCGAACAAGAUCGGGCAGCACGGGAACAUUAAUGAAUAAACGGUAGCAGAGACGUCGAAUCAAAAGUCGCGACGAUCAGACUACAGCUAUAGC